GACGAACGCUGGCGGCGUGCCUAAUACAUGCAAGUCGAACGCUUCUUUCCUCCCGAGUGCUUGCACUCGAUUGGAAGGAGGAGUGGCGGACGGGUGAGUAACACGUGGGUAACCUACCCAUCAGAGGGGGAUAACACUUGGAAACAGGUGCUAAUACCGCAUAACAGUUUAUGCCGCAUGGCAUCAGAGUGAACGGCGCUUUCUGGUGUCGUUGAUGGAUGGACCCUCGGUGCAUUAGCUAGUUGGUGAGGUAACGGCUCACCAAGGCCACGAUGCAUAGCCGGUCUGAGAGGGUGAUCGGCCACACUGGGACUGAGACACGGCCCAGACUCCUACGGGAGGCAGCAGUAGGGAAUAUUCGGCAAUGGGCGAAAGUCUGACCGAGCAACGCCGCGUGAGUGAAGAAGGUUUUCGGAUCGUAAAACUCUGUUGUUAGGGAAGAACAAGGACGUUAGUAACUGCACGUCCCCUGACGGUAUCUAAACAGAAAGCCACGGCUAACUACGUG
RNAcentral lists this ribosomal RNA (508 nucleotides) under uncultured bacterium. Its description in RNAcentral is "partial 16S ribosomal RNA". It matches the Rfam family "Bacterial small subunit ribosomal RNA", at positions 28 to 507 of the family's 1533-position model. The record is from RNAcentral.